GCCAGCAGCCGCGGUAAUACGUAGGGUGCGAGCGUUAAUCGGAAUUACUGGGCGUAAAGCGUGCGCAGGCGGUUUUGUAAGACAGGCGUGAAAUCCCCGAGCUCAACUUGGGAAUGGCGCUUGUGACUGCAAGGCUAGAGUAUGUCAGAGGGGGGUAGAAUUCCACGUGUAGCAGUGAAAUGCGUAGAGAUGUGGAGGAAUACCGAUGGCGAAGGCAGCCCCCUGGGACGUCACUGACGCUCAUGCACGAAAGCGUGGGGAGCAAACAGGAUUAGAUACCCUGGUAGUCCACGCCCUAAACGAUGUCAACUAGUUGUUGGGGAUUCAUUUCUUCAGUAACGUAGCUAACGCGUGAAGUUGACCGCCUGGGGAGUACGGUCGCAAGAUUAAAACUCAAAGGAAUUGACGGA
This 410-nucleotide ribosomal RNA is filed under the name beta proteobacterium Jbg39. RNAcentral describes it as "bacterial SSU rRNA". It matches the Rfam family "Bacterial small subunit ribosomal RNA", at positions 507 to 917 of the family's 1533-position model. Lineage: Bacteria; Pseudomonadati; Pseudomonadota; Betaproteobacteria. The record is from RNAcentral.